GACGAACGCUGGCGGCGUGCCUAAUACAUGCAAGUCGAGCGGACUUAAAAAGCUUGCUUUUUAAGUUAGCGGCGGACGGGUGAGUAACACGUGGGCAACCUGCCUGUAAGACUGGGAUAACUUCGGGAAACCGGAGCUAAUACCGGAUAAUCCUUUCCUACUCAUGUAGGAAAGCUGAAAGACGGUUUACGCUGUCACUUACAGAUGGGCCCGCGGCGCAUUAGCUAGUUGGUGAGGUAACGGCUCACCAAGGCGACGAUGCGUAGCCGACCUGGGAGGGUGAUCGGCCACACUGGGACUGAGACACGGCCCAGAGUCCUACGGGAGGCAGCAGUAGGGAAUCUUCCGCGAUGGACGAAAGUCUGACGGAGCAACGCCGCGUGAGUGAUGAAGGUUUUCGGAUCGUAAAACUCUGUUGUUAGGGAAGAACAAGUACGAGAGUAACUGCUCGUACCUUGACGGUACCUAACCAGAAAGCCACGGCUAACUACGUGCCACCAGCCGCCGUAA
This 510-nucleotide ribosomal RNA is filed under the name uncultured bacterium. RNAcentral's name for it is "partial 16S ribosomal RNA". It matches the Rfam family "Bacterial small subunit ribosomal RNA", at positions 28 to 523 of the family's 1533-position model. The record is from RNAcentral.